AGGGAAACCGAGUCUUAACUGGGCGUUAAGUUGCAGGGUAUAGACCCGAAACCCGGUGAUCUAGCCAUGGGCAGGUUGAAGGUUGGGUAACACUAACUGGAGGACCGAACCGACUAAUGUUGAAAAAUUAGCGGAUGACUUGUGGCUGGGGGUGAAAGGCCAAUCAAACCGGGAGAUAGCUGGUUCUCCCCGAAAGCUAUUUAGGUAGCGCCUCGUGAACUCAUCUUCGGGGGUAGAGCACUGUUUCGGCUAGGGGGUCAUCCCGACUUACCAACCCGAUGCAAACUGCGAAUACCGAAGAAUGUUAUCACGGGAGACACACGGCGGGUGCUAACGUCCGUCGUGAAGAGGGAAACAACCCAGACCGCCAGCUAAGGUCCCAAAGUCACAGUUAAGUGGGAAACGAUGUGGGAAGGCUCAGACAGCCAGGAUGUUGGCUUAGAAGCAGCCAUCAUUUAAAGAAAGCGUAAUAGCUCACUGGUCGAGUCGGCCUGCGCGGAAGAUGUAACGGGGCUAAACUGUGCACCGAAGCUGCGGCAGCGACGCUUAUGCGUUGUUGGGUAGGGGAGCGUUCUGUAAGCCUGCGAAGGUGUCCUGUGAGGGAUGCUGGAGGUAUCAGAAGUGCGAAUGCUGACAUAAGUAACGAUAAUGCGGGUGAAAAGCCCGCUCGCCGGAAGACCAAGGGUUCCUGUCCAACGUUAAUCGGGGCAGGGUGAGUCGACCCCUAAGGCGAGGCCGAAAGGCGUAGUCGAUGGGAAACGGGUUAAUAUUCCCGUACUUGGUGUUACUGCGAAGGGGGGACGGAGAAGGCUAUGUUGGCCGGGCGACGGUUGUCCCGGUUUAAGCGUGUAGGCUGGUUUUCCAGGCAAAUCCGGAAAAUCAAGGCUGAGGC
Molecule: ribosomal RNA, 892 nt
Filed under: Salmonella enterica subsp. enterica serovar Kentucky
Lineage: Bacteria; Pseudomonadati; Pseudomonadota; Gammaproteobacteria; Enterobacterales; Enterobacteriaceae
Description: partial 23S ribosomal RNA
Rfam family: Bacterial large subunit ribosomal RNA
Source: RNAcentral